RNAcentral lists this long non-coding RNA (462 nucleotides) under Parus major (Great Tit). RNAcentral describes it as "lncRNA (ENSPMJG00000004982.1)". Lineage: Eukaryota; Metazoa; Chordata; Aves; Passeriformes; Paridae. The record is from RNAcentral.
AAUUUAACCCAUCCUUGCAGGCUUCUCCCCAGGAAGGUGAAGAUGAAGAAUAUCAGUGCCUAUUUUGCUCUCCUGCAAAAGCUGAAAAUCUUCAAUGAGGUUUAAAGAGCGUGUACAAAGCCCAGUUCAUCAAUAAUCAUCUUCUCUCUUCUGACAUCCAAAUGGGAAAUCUGCAGCUGCUUUUGCUGCCUGGCCAGCUCUUUGUUUCAGUGCUUGGAACAGCUUGAAUUUGACAGAUCAGAUUUGUGAAAUGCCAUAAAAGAGAAGAAUCCUCAUCUCCUCCUGCCUUCAGCUUCACCCUGGUGUGGACAUUACAUUUAUUUGUGUGCUGUGUGAGCAGGGGCACACCAAAGGCACCAGUUCUCCAGUAUUUUAUCCCUAAUGGUGGCCAAUAAUUGGUGCCAAGGAAAUAAAUAAAGGAAAAAAACCCAAUAACAGGAUUUCACAAUUGUCAAGUCCCAG